GACGAACGCUGGCGGCGUGCUUAACACAUGCAAGUCGAACGGAAAGGCCCUGCUUUUGUGGGGUGCUCGAGUGGCGAACGGGUGAGUAACACGUGAGUAACCUGCCCUUGACUUUGGGAUAACUUCAGGAAACUGGGGCUAAUACCGGAUAGGAGCUCCUGCUGCAUGGUGGGGGUUGGAAAGUUUCGGCGGUUGGGGAUGGACUCGCGGCUUAUCAGCUUGUUGGUGGGGUAGUGGCUUACCAAGGCUUUGACGGGUAGCCGGCCUGAGAGGGGGACCGGCGACAUGGGGACUGAGAUACGGCCCAGUCGCGUACGGGAGGCAGCAGUGGGAAGUAUUGCACAAUGGGCGGAAGCCUGAUGCGGAAGCGCCGCGUGCGGGAUGACGGCCUUCGGGUUGUAAACCGCUUUCGCCUGUGACGAAGCGUGAGUGACGGUAAUGGGUAAAGAAGCACCGGCUAACUACGUG
RNAcentral lists this ribosomal RNA (468 nucleotides) under uncultured bacterium. RNAcentral's name for it is "partial 16S ribosomal RNA". It matches the Rfam family "Bacterial small subunit ribosomal RNA", at positions 28 to 507 of the family's 1533-position model. The record is from RNAcentral.